AAAAAAUGGAGUUCACAAUAGUCCAUUGUUGGCUGUGGUGACGGUGAUAAUGAGUGAUACCAACAGUGAAACUCAGUAGGACUCCAGUGAAACUA
Amblyraja radiata (thorny skate) is the source of this 95-nucleotide long non-coding RNA. RefSeq lists it as uncharacterized. The transcript is spliced from 3 exons. The record is from RefSeq and is a predicted model, not a curated record. Lineage: Eukaryota; Metazoa; Chordata; Chondrichthyes; Rajiformes; Rajidae.